UCCUGGUUGUGUUUCUAAGGCUUGAUUCA
RNAcentral lists this non-coding RNA (29 nucleotides) under Rattus norvegicus (Norway rat). Lineage: Eukaryota; Metazoa; Chordata; Mammalia; Rodentia; Muridae. The record is from RNAcentral.